AACGAACGCUGGCGGCAGGCUUAACACAUGCAAGUCGAACGCCCCGCAAGGGGAGUGGCAGACGGGUGAGUAACGCGUGGGAAUCUACCCAUCGCUGCGGAAUAGCUCCGGGAAACUGGAAUUAAUACCGCAUACGCCCUACGGGGGAAAGAUUUAUCGGGGAUGGAUGAGCCCGCGUUGGAUUAGCUAGUUGGUGGGGUAAAGGCCUACCAAGGCGACGAUCCAUAGCUGGUCUGAGAGGAUGAGCAGCCACAUUGGGACUGAGACACGGCCCAAACUCCUACGGGAGGAAGCAGUGGGGAAUAUUGGACAAUGGGCGCAAGCCUGAUCCAGCCAUGCCGCGUGAGUGAUGAAGGCCUUAGGGUUGUAAAGCUCUUUCUCCGGUGAAGAUAAUGACGGUAACCGGAGAAGAAGCCCCGGCUAACUUCGUGCCAGCAGCCGCCGCAG
This 447-nucleotide ribosomal RNA is filed under the name uncultured bacterium. RNAcentral describes it as "partial 16S ribosomal RNA". It matches the Rfam family "Bacterial small subunit ribosomal RNA", at positions 29 to 523 of the family's 1533-position model. The record is from RNAcentral.